AACGGCGCCAUUAUCCAACUCUGAGCGGCACGUGACGGUGGCGCUGGUGGAAGAAUCCAGUUUUCUCCUCCGGGGCUGGGCGUCGAUGGGAGGGAGCGGCUGAAUGUAGCCAGAGUCUGUGAGAUAGAAAUCCGAAACCCUCAAGAGUCUCACCUGCUUUGACCACAACACAACAGGACAAGAACUGGAUGGAAAUGAAAUGUGGGUCAUGAAAGGAGACUGAAUGCAGGAUGCCUGCUAACAUGUUGCCAACUGGUGUAUAUCUUUGCAGUCUAAACAAAUGAAGAUGAAAGAGGAAGCCAGGUGUCAGGCAUUAGAAACCCUAAAGACUUUCCUGUCUCAGAAGAGGACUGGCUCCACCAGAUCACCAACCAGUUCUGAGGAUGAACCUCCAUAUCGUCUUCAUGGUGGAAGGUUUUUUUUGUUGUUUUACACUAAGCAGCUGGCCACAGUUUUAGGAACAGUCAAAACUUGUAUGUUACCAUGACUUAGUGCUU
This is a long non-coding RNA of Poeciliopsis prolifica (blackstripe livebearer), 497 nucleotides long. RefSeq lists it as uncharacterized. The transcript is spliced from 3 exons. Lineage: Eukaryota; Metazoa; Chordata; Actinopteri; Cyprinodontiformes; Poeciliidae. The record is from RefSeq and is a predicted model, not a curated record.